GUCCUAUAGGACCGGAUUCCCGGUCAUCGAUCCUAGACCCGAAAAAUAAAUGGACAGGUCGGCUCGACCCAAAAAAUUCUAGGCCCGAAUUGAACCCGAUACGAACCCAGCCCGGUCCGCCCAUUUUACACCCCUAGAUAAAAGGGCACCAAAUUUCUCAUCCAAAAGUUCCAAAAAUUGGAUGAAAAAAAAGGGAAUGAACGGUCCACGUUUAUUCAGUUUUCUGUUAAUUAAAUUGAUCCAAUAACCGACAAUAAACCGGUUGGUCUAGAAGACGAAUCAGAUUUGGCGGUCUUAACUCACAAGAAGGAUUACCUUCUCUUUCUUUCUCAGCAUCGGUCUCGUGAGAAACUCGACAGGACCUCAGCCGCUUUGAUUCUAACUCAGAAAUUUCAUCAGAUUCCAGCACAAAGAUUUCAGCUUUUCAUCCUUUAAUCUCAUCUGCUCUGAAACAACAUCAAGAUCUUCGUUCAUGUUUGAAGCUCACCUUGGUCUGGAUUCAACAGCGAAAUCACCGAUAUCAGCAGCACCAAUCUCAGAAUGGGAGAUGGUGGCAUGCUUCAGAUGCAUCCAAAGAAGCAGAUUUUGGUUUGAUCUAUGUGUCCCCCACAUAUCGAAUCUCUUCCGGAGAUGUUAACAAUCUUCCAACUUUCACAAGUUGACAAAUACGUAGCUUUAUGAGCCCCCGAAAUUCAAAGAUCCAGUUUUUAUGGAGAUUUGUGCGCUAUGCCAUUCAAAACUUCCAAUGACUUUGUUUUUUUUUUCAAUUCAAGAUCGACCAGUACGAGAUUGGAUCUGUCAACAACGAUGAACGAAUCACAGCGAGGAAGAAGAAGAAGAAGAAGAAGGAGAGAUGAUGACAAUGAUAAUACACAAAACAAAAGAGAUAUGCAAACACUCAUUUUCGCUGUGAGAGAGGAAAUCUCCAGAGCAUGAUACAAUACUAACGUGUAAACCAGGAUUUUGGAUUUCGACAUUGAUUCGAUCCCGGAAACAACACUCUUGACAGAGAAAAAAACCAUGACAUGAACAGAAAGAAGUAAGGAAUUCGAUGAAGAAAAAACCCAGAUGAACAAAUCAGCAAUUUGUCCUCGUCUUGUACGAUCGGAUAACUUCAAACCCUUUUCUUGGCGAAUCCAAAAAGAAAAAAAGAAAACA
This is a long non-coding RNA of Tarenaya hassleriana, 1158 nucleotides long. RefSeq lists it as uncharacterized. The transcript has 2 exons. NCBI's taxonomy places the organism in Eukaryota, Viridiplantae, Streptophyta, Magnoliopsida, Brassicales, Cleomaceae. The record is from RefSeq and is a predicted model, not a curated record.